Molecule: RNA transcript, 3016 nt
Organism: Pseudophryne corroboree (corroboree frog)
Lineage: Eukaryota; Metazoa; Chordata; Amphibia; Anura; Myobatrachidae
Gene: STIMATE
Gene name: STIM activating enhancer
Exons: 9
Source: RefSeq, a predicted model, not a curated record
CAGAGAGACUCCGCCCCCUUACGUGCCGCUCUGACAGAAGCACCGCCCCCGGACACUCUGACCCCUUCCCCACCGCCCGACGCCUUCCUCUGAGACGCAGAUAUGACACGUUCCCUCUCGGCUACCGUCCUGUGGUUGCCGCGGUGACCAGCUGGGGCUGGCGCCGGGCCCGGUAACGGAGCCAUGUCCCCUCUUACCGGGAAUAAGAGCCUGACCUCAGGCACCGACCCCACCAGCUCAGGCCCAGGCUGUCGCAAUGGGGCCCUUAUGGGCAGUUUUGGCAUCUUCUUGCAGGGACUGCUGGCGGUGAUGGCCUUCAGCAUCCUUAUGUUGAAACGUUUAAGAGAACCAAAGCAUGAGCGACGUCCUUGGAGGAUAUGGUUCCUGGAUACGUCCAAACAAGCUAUAGGAAUGCUGUUCAUUCACUUUGCAAAUGUCUACUUAUCAGAUCUUACACAGGAGGACCCAUGUUCACUGUACCUAAUUAACUUCCUCCUAGAUGCUACACUUGGCAUGUUACUUAUCUAUGCAGGGGUCCGAGUGGUCAGCUGUGUUGUGGAGUGGCAACAGUGGGAUUCUUUGCGGUUUGGAGAAUAUGGGGAUCCUAUCCAGUGUAAUGCCUGGGCUGGACAGUGCGCCCUCUACAUCCUUAUUAUGAUGUUUGAGAAGACUGCAAUGGUCCUUGUCCUGCUUAUACCCAAUCUCAAAGAGGUUGCAAAGUUAAAUCCAUUAGCGUCUAAUAACCCAGAGCUGGAGUUGGCGAUUGUGAUGCUCAUUGUACCGUUCUUUGUUAAUGCAUUAAUGUUCUGGGUGGUGGACAACUUUCUAAUGAAGAAGGCCAAAACAAAGGCCAAGAUGGAAGAGAAAGAGGGCAAUCCAGAAUCCCGAAACGGGAACAAAGUGCGGUAUCGACGGGCGGCCUCAUACGAUGACUCGGAGUCUGAAAUACUCAUAUCGGCAGAUGAUGAAAUGGAGGAGACCGAUGGUGAGGAAGACUUGCGCAAAUUAACUAAUUCCAAGGCUCUUAAGAAAAAAAAGCACCGGUUUGGCCUGCCUGUAUGAUGCUUCUCUUCAGAUUUUGCACAAUGCCUCCCUUGAACUGAGGUUUGCAGGAGGAGACUGGGUCUGGAUUCUUAGCACAGGAACUCUUCAAGCCACUACCUCUACUGUCCUGUUGGCUUCAGAGAUGGGGGUGCAAAAACCUGUGUGUUCAGGAGGCCCUCUCCAAGAUAGGGAGUGCCAAGGAUUGGGCACUAGACUUUCAUUGCUCUACAUGCUGCUGCCCCCUUACACAAGGUCAUACAAGGGAAAAGGAGCAACAGCCUGCUAUUCUCUAAAGAGCAACUGUUACAUUAUGUUCCCUUUCAGUUUGAGUAGAUCUUUUUUCAUUACACCCAACUUUUUAUUUUUCUCUUCCCAGUUAACUUGUGUUUGCCCAUUUUAAUGUCUGAAUCUAGACACACCUCCUGAACCUGCUGUGUAUAUAACAGUCUGAGGGCUUGCUUUUUAUUUAUAUCCCUUUUCAAGAAACUCUGCAUCAAGCUUCUCAUCAACUGUCAAAGAAUGUGAUGUACAUACCCAGAUACACCUAUCCCGAAGUCGGGGACCUACAAGAAAGCUGGACAUCUAUUUCUCCAAGCAUUCCAAUGUAGUCCUUUUGUGCGCAUUACUAUGUUUUAAAGUGGUGUAAAGAAUGUUUUUCCAGUUGCGAUGAUGAAAACACUCUUCCCAUACUGUUACAGGAGAAAAAGAGCAACAUUUGAUUUAACUGCUUUUAUUUUAUGAAACUCCCAAGGUACUUUCUUCCAAGGCCCUUGCAGCACAAAUGCAACUAAUGACUAUGACUAUGAACUGAGGAAUUCCAAGAGGCUAGCCUUUGGAGCUGUUGGAUGCAGCGGUGUCUGGGUGUGGAUUAAAAGAUCAAAAGUCAGAAGGUUGACACCAUAUGGACGGCAGGGUAAAAAGGUCACCAUGCACAUAGCCGACACACAGCAGGUCAACACAGUCUUUUUGGUGGCAUUUUGUAUGUUUAACCAUAUAUGAUCUAAAUUAUUGAAUGUGUAGAAACGUGUACUAUCAUGGACUCGCCGCGCUUCAGGCAAGGUGGCUUGCUAGAAAGAUAAGAAAGGUAAUAGAUGGUGACAUGGAUAGUUAGAUUUAGCGAAAGAUGAAAAAUCAUGAAACACUUUUCAUAGUCCAGAUGCGUCAUUGAAUUUUGUGACUCUAUGAGCCCUUGGCUCUAGUUACCAUUCCAUAUUCCAUACUUCUGUACAGAUAUGGCACACCAAGGAGGCGUAUUGCACUGCUGAAGACUGUUCCAAUGUUUGAUUGAGUUCACAACAUAUGGAACCCCUAUAAAUGCUGAUAAACCCAGUAGACUUACCAGGCACUCAACCUGAGGGGAUUUUCUUAAUUCAGUAAAUUGACCAUAAAUUACAAUGAAAACAAUUUUAAGACUCCAUCAUCUGUAUUCUACAGGACUAUGAUUUAUUUCUUUUUAUUUAAAAGGUGCUCUUACAUGUAAAAGUUUUCACUCAGUUCAUUAUUAUUUAUUACCAGUUAUUUAUAUAGCACACACAUAUUCCGCAGCACUUUACAGAGAAUAUUUGGCCAUUCACAUUGGUCCUUGCCCCAGUGGAGCUUACAAUCUAUAUUCCUUACCACAUGUACAUACAUUCAUGCUAGGGUUAAUUUUUGGUUGGGAUCCAAUUGACCUACCAGUAUAUUUUUGGAUUGUGGGAGGAAACCCAGGCAAGUAUGGGGAGAAUAUACAAACUCCACACUGUUAGGGCCAUGAUGGGAAUCGAACCCAUGACCUCAGUGCUGUGAGUCAGUAAUGCUAACCAUUACACCAUCUGUAUAUAAGUAGUACACUGUGAAUUAUAUAUAAAAACAUUAAAUACAAUACUUUCUUGUCAUACAUAAGUCUUUCAGCUGAAGUCUAUGAAAUGUAUAUCUCUGAAGAAAAGAAUUGUAGCCAGAGAGAAUAUGAAGAGAAUAAACAAGCAAGCUCCUC